Molecule: long non-coding RNA, 570 nt
Filed under: Homo sapiens (human)
Lineage: Eukaryota; Metazoa; Chordata; Mammalia; Primates; Hominidae
Description: TMEM161B divergent transcript
Source: RNAcentral
GUGGCUGCGCUUGCGAGGACCCUGAGGUAGAUUGGGUGGUUUCAACAGGAACGCAUCCACUGUCUGAGAGUUUAAACUUGAUUUUGUGAGGGGACGAACAGCGUGACAAUUAAAAGAAGAUCUGGGAAUCAAAAGCUUCCUGAGGCCUUCACCAGAAGCAGAUGCUGGUGCCGUGCUUCUACAGCCUGCAGAACUAAGAGAAGACAUGGAGAAGAGGAGGGAGUAGUUGUGACCGUGGAGGCAGAGAAUGGAGUAAUGUGAUCAUAAAUCAAGGAAUGCUGACAGCCACUAAAGCUGGAGAAGGCCAAGGACAGAUAUUCAAUCCUCCCGUAGAAGUACAGCCCUGCUAAUGCAUUGAUUUUGGACUUCUGGCCUCAGAACUGUCUGGAAAGCAUGGAAAUUUGUAUCUUCAUUCACUUUUGUUUUCAUGGACUCUUUUCAUGUUUGAACUUUUCAUGGUAUGAGCUGUUUUAUAAUCUAUAAUAUGGAAUGUUUCUCAUACGAAUGUUUUUCUUAUUGAAGAAUGCCAUAGAAAUAAGGGUGUGAGGUAUACUUACUUGACAGGAGAAU